Molecule: ribosomal RNA, 588 nt
Filed under: Ammonia sp. T2A
Lineage: Eukaryota; Foraminifera; Rotaliida; Rotaliidae
Description: SSU rRNA
Rfam family: Eukaryotic small subunit ribosomal RNA
Source: RNAcentral
CGUGCUCGGCGCGAACAAUAUACAUUAAACUAUAGAGACCGCUGUUUCUUCUUUAAACCAGAGGAAGGAUACGGCAAUAACAGGUCUGUGAUGCCCUCAGAUGUUCCGGGCUGCACACGUGCUACAAUGAUCAUUGCACUGUGCAUCUAACACAAUGUGCGCGGACGCCGCAUGCAUGUGCCUUCGGGUACACGCAUUGCUGAGCGACCGCGCCGAACCUACUUCGAAAGUAAAAUUUCUCAGUGGGUAAUCCAUUAGAAGUAAUGACUCGCAUAGACCAUGGCACAACUAAAUGUACGCGCAGGUUCUACCCGGCUCGCCUUUGUGUGAGUGCAGUGCGUAGCUUGUUGUUUCGUACGUGCCACUCCGUAUUAAUUCGUACGUGGGGAUAGAUCAUUGUUUAAUUGUUGGUCUCGGUCUUAACUAGGAAUGCCUUGUACGGGUCUCUGGUUCAACAUACCACCCGGAAUACGUCCCUGCCCUUUGUACACACCGCCCGUCGCUCUUACCGAUGGAUUAUGCUAUGAAUCUAUAGGACUGCCAAAGCUUUUUGGAGCUUAGUGGAAAUAUAUAUGAAUAGCGGAUCUA